Long non-coding RNA from Cyprinodon tularosa, 1547 nucleotides. RefSeq lists it as uncharacterized. Lineage: Eukaryota; Metazoa; Chordata; Actinopteri; Cyprinodontiformes; Cyprinodontidae. The transcript has 3 exons. The record is from RefSeq and is a predicted model, not a curated record.
GAAAUAAUACUACACACUGAGAGAUAGUCCCCUCUGUAGAGCUGGCAGAGGAGUGGGAGCAUCAGAAACACAUCAAAAAGCAAGAAAUAUCAGAGGGAGUCAGGUGAGGGAGUGGCGGUAGGAGCUCCAAGCAGACAGACAAAUGACAACAAUGCAUUGAGGGCAAGCUGAGACCCAGUCCAUCCGAUGGCCUAGAGAUCCAACCAACAAGGCACCAGCUCCUGGAGCUGGAAGUUGGAUGGACCAUGGUAGUGAAAACACAUACCAUCCCAGCUGGUGAGCUAGCCCCUGGAAUGUCAAGAGGAAGGGAUGCUCACUAGAGCAAGCAUGGCCAGCUGAACACCUCCCAACAUGGGAGCCAUAAGUCACAAGAGUGGAGCCACAACAUCAAACGGAGAGGAGUAUCCCCUGAAAGAGGAAAACUCUUUCCCUCUUAAGCUACUCCCUACUUAGUUUUUAAGUUAAAAAAAAAGAUGCACAAAAUAAAACAGGUAUUUUUCUGUCCAUAUGCUAAUGUUUUAUCCAUCACUUUAGGCAGCUGGUAAGAAAACAUCCUCAAUGAAACUGUUCAGUUCAUAGAAUCUUAUAAACAUGAAAAUAAAAAUAUCAAACUAUUAAAGUGGAAUCAAAAUGAACAUUACAAGAAUCCCAUCUAAUAAGUUUUAUUAUACACUGAGUGUUGAUACAUGAGGCUAAAGUCCUGCUGAGGAAGAAGCUCAAGUGUUUGACUUUGCUUGUUAUUCAAGCAACCCAUUGUAUGAAAUCUCCCUCGAGGCAAAGUAUAUUUUCAUAGGCCCCCACAGAGCAGAGCGGAGGUUUCUUUUAUGCCUUGUGUUUUUUUCCCACAUAAUGGAACCAAAGCACACAUUUUGUAUUUAAAGCUUCCGUUUUGCAGUUUCAAACGGCCUUUAAAUGAAUUUUGGAUUAUUUAUACAGCUUACCAGCCUUGCCUUCCCAUGCGAGCCCCAAUACUCCACUGUAGUCCCUGUUAGUGAGCAGAUAGGACAAGCAGUAGUUUCCCCAGUUGUUCUCAGAGUAAAGACUCAACAGACUUUCCGGUCCAAUAAACAGUCGAUUAAGAGGAUCCUUCUUGUUUUGUGUUGUCAUCACCUGGAGAAACACAGAGGUUUACUUAAUUCGCCAAACUGACAAGGACGCAAUGUAGUAACUGUUGUUUUUAAACCUUUUAUUUUUGAGCAUCAUAACAAUCUGGCAUGUUAGGAAUCAGACAGGCUUGUGUGAGAGGCUGUGCCACAGUAGUUCUUUGAGGUUUUGUUUGUUUCUGCACUUGUGAAAUCACAGAAAACUCUGCAGCAGUUAGGAUCCUCAGGCAAGCCUGAGGAUCCUAACUGUUUGUUUUGGCACCAAACUUACUCUAAGGGUCUUAAUUUUGAAGUUGAUCAACUUGAUUCCAUUAAAGUCAGUCUUGUCGUAGAUGUCAUUCACUGCCCGCAUAUAAAGGGCAACCUAAAAAAAAAAAAAGAUAAGAAAAUAAUAACAAAUUAACAGUAAAAAAAACAUCUGUGGAGUGUUUCAUAUCCAAGGCU